RNAcentral lists this ribosomal RNA (392 nucleotides) under Winnertzia nigripennis. RNAcentral's name for it is "partial 12S ribosomal RNA". The record is from RNAcentral. Lineage: Eukaryota; Metazoa; Arthropoda; Insecta; Diptera; Cecidomyiidae.
UAUUAUUGAUUUAUAAAAUAAAAAUAUUCUAGAUUAUUAAAUAAAUAAAAAUAAAAAUUAAAUAAAUUGGCGGCAUUUUAAAAAAUUAGAGGAAUUUGUUUAGUAAUAGAUAAUACACUAUAAAUUUUACUUAUUUUAUUAAUUUGUAUAUCGUUAUCAUAAAAUAAUAUUUAAAAAUUUAUUUUUAAUAUUUUUAAUAAAAAAAAAUGUUAAAUCAUGAUGCAGUUUAUAAAUAAGAUUGUAAUGAAUUACAAUUAAAUUAAUUAUUCGAAUUUUAACAUAAAAUGUUAUUUUAAAGUUGGAUUUAAUAGUAAAUUAAUUAAUAUAAAUUAAUUUAAAAAAAUUUAAAAUGCGCACAUAUUGCCCGUCGCUUUUAUAAAUUAAUAAAAUAA